Molecule: ribosomal RNA, 700 nt
Filed under: Lutibacter sp.
Lineage: Bacteria; Pseudomonadati; Bacteroidota; Flavobacteriia; Flavobacteriales; Flavobacteriaceae
Description: bacterial SSU rRNA
Rfam family: Bacterial small subunit ribosomal RNA
Source: RNAcentral
GAUGAACGCUAGCGGCAGGCUUAACACAUGCAAGUCGAGGGGUAACAGGGAGGAGCUUGCUUUUCCGCUGACGACCGGCGCACGGGUGCGUAACGCGUAUAGAACCUACCUUUUACAGGGGAAUAGCCCAGAGAAAUUUGGAUUAAUGCCCCAUAGUAUUAUUGAAUGGCAUCAUUUAAUAAUUAAACAUUUAUGGGUAAAAGAUGGCUAUGCGUUCUAUUAGCUAGAUGGUAAGGUAACGGCUUACCAUGGCAACGAUAGAUAGGGGUCCUGAGAGGGAGAUCCCCCACACUGGUACUGAGACACGGACCAGACUCCUACGGGAGGCAGCAGUGAGGAAUAUUGGACAAUGGAGGCAACUCUGAUCCAGCCAUGCCGCGUGCAGGAAGACGGUCCUAUGGAUUGUAAACUGCUUUUAUAUAGGAAGAAACCUUUCCACGUGUGGAAAGCUGACGGUACUAUAAGAAUAAGCACCGGCUAACUCCGUGCCAGCAGCCGCGGUAAUACGGAGGGUGCAAGCGUUAUCCGGAAUCAUUGGGUUUAAAGGGUCCGUAGGCGGACUAAUAAGUCAGGGGUGAAAUCCAACAGCUUAACUGUUGAACUGCCUUUGAUACUGUUAGUCUUGAGUUAUAUGGAAGUAGAUAGAAUAUGUAGUGUAGCGGUGAAAUGCUUAGAGAUUACAUAGAAUACCGAUUGCGAA